Bemisia tabaci is the source of this 388-nucleotide non-coding RNA. The record is from RefSeq and is a predicted model, not a curated record. NCBI's taxonomy places the organism in Eukaryota, Metazoa, Arthropoda, Insecta, Hemiptera, Aleyrodidae.
CUCAAGUCAGACAAGAGUGGGAAAGCAAUCACUCAAGGUGUCGUUUUUUUAUCGUAUGUGAUGUCUGCUGUGUUGGUGAUGUUCACGUUCUAUUACUCCGCAACAUUGCUACAAGAAUCAGUAGAGCGAGGAUAUUAGAUUCGCCCUGUGGAAUCACGACUGGAUGAAAACAGGAUUUAGACAUAAAAAGCUACUGAAAAUGUUUCUCCUUCGACUUAACAGCCCAAUACGGAUGAAAACAUUUCAGUUUAGACCUAUCCAUCUCGAGCGAUUUUCUCACUUUAUUGCGAACUCAUUCUCAUACAUCACAUUUUUAUUACAACUGGCUCGAGCGAAGUGAAAAUGUGUAAAGAAGCUUUAUUAUAUCCCUCUGUAGAGACGAACGUAU